Non-coding RNA from Pimephales promelas (fathead minnow), 1046 nucleotides. The record is from RefSeq and is a predicted model, not a curated record. Lineage: Eukaryota; Metazoa; Chordata; Actinopteri; Cypriniformes; Leuciscidae.
UACAAUUAUUUUACACAAAAUAAAUGUUUUAAAAUGCUUAUUGUACAGUAAUGUAUAGCAUCAUAACAUAGAGAGUAGGACGUUUCUUGUUCAAUAAAAGCUUCGUUUCAUGUGUAAAAUACCCUCCAAAUUACGUUAGGUGGCGUCAUUAGGUUUCAAAUCUAAGCUCCGCCCCUCAAUUACGUUCCUGGCGCUGGUGUUGGUUAGAAUCUAACGCCGCCCCUCACUUCCGGUUCUGGCGCUGGGGUUCUGAAACUGGGGUUCUGAAACUGGUGGUGCUGCGGGUCUGCAGCUGGAUACUAUAGCUGUUUGAUUUUAAACUAUUGGAAGACGACAUGAGGCUCAUCGAAUCCUUUAACAGGAACAAAAGGCUUGUUGUUCCAACUAUAAUGAAAGAUGGACAAAAUGUUUGGAGAGAUGCAGGACAUCCACAUUUUCCCUUCAGUGAUCCAUAUUGACAAAACUGGAAUUUUUUUAAACCUACAAGAUCUAAAGGUGACAUGUUUAAUAAAACGAAUUUAAAUAAAGAGCUUCAUUUAAAUAAUUGUUUCUUUUGAAUUGAUGUAGAGCCCACCAAAGGUGUAAUACACAUGGCUUUUUUAAUGAAACCAAGUAUUUAGCAUAUACAACCAUUGCAAGGACAGCAGACAUUGUCUGUACAUGUGCACAGAUCCCAAACUUCUAAAAAUUAAUCACCACAAAAUCAGGUCCAUUUCGUGAAUUUUAUUUAACAUUUUUCAAACUUGUAAUACAUUAUAUGCUACAUUCAUAAAAAAAAUGAAGUCAUUAGCAAUUUUUUUUAAAUUUUAUUUUAUUUUUUAUCAUCCUUCCAACAGCCUAGCAUUAAACCCCACCACUAAAGCUGUUCGUAUAGCUUGUGAAGUUAAUGAAAUCCCUAUUGUGUAUGGUUUUUUACUGAAAUUCACCCCCACCCACAGAAUGUUAAGAUCAAAGUUCUCAGAAAUCAUCCUUUCACAAACCAGAGCAAAACACAAGCAGCUACAUGCUUUUCUCUAUUAACAGACGGGGGUGGACAGAAGGGGAAC